This 497-nucleotide ribosomal RNA is filed under the name uncultured bacterium. RNAcentral's name for it is "partial 16S ribosomal RNA". It matches the Rfam family "Bacterial small subunit ribosomal RNA", at positions 28 to 507 of the family's 1533-position model. The record is from RNAcentral.
GACGAACGCUGGCGGCGUGCCUAAUACAUGCAAGUAGAGCGCUGAAGCUUGGUGCUUGCCCCGAGCGGAUGAGUUGCGAACGGGUGAGUAACGCGUAGGUAACCUGCCUGGUAGCGGGGGAUAACUAUUGGAAACGAUAGCUAAUACCGCAUAAGAGUAGAUGUUGCAUGACAUUUGCUUAAAAGGUGCAAUUGCAUCACUACCAGAUGGACCUGCGUUGUAUUAGCUAGUUGGUGAGGUAACGGCUCACCAAGGCAACGAUACAUAGCCGACCUGAGAGGGUGAUCGGCCACACUGGGACUGAGACACGGCCCAGACUCCUACGGGAGGCAGCAGUAGGGAAUCUUCGGCAAUGGACGGAAGUCUGACCGAGCAACGCCGCGGGAGUGAAGAAGGUUUUCGGAUCGUAAAGCUCUGUUGUAAGAGAAGAACGAGUGUGAGAGUGGAAAGUUCACACUGUGACGGUAUCUUACCAGAAAGGGACGGCUAACUACGUG